Molecule: long non-coding RNA, 208 nt
Filed under: Panax ginseng (ginseng)
Lineage: Eukaryota; Viridiplantae; Streptophyta; Magnoliopsida; Apiales; Araliaceae
Description: long non-coding RNA (PGIN_LNC006251)
Source: RNAcentral
AACUUUCAUGCUCACCCUUGCUAUAUCAUGAUAAAACAUUGCAGAUAAGGCGAAUACAGCCAGAUACAGAAAAAGGAUAAUGCCAAGUUCAGCUUGGUACAGAAUGUGAAGUUAAGUUGUAAAGUAUGUUGAAGAAUAGUAUUGUCAUGUGCUAGAUAGUUCAUGAUUAUGUAUAAGUGAAGGUUACUCGAUUCUGGGGAAAUGUGUG